AGCAUAUCUCUCGUGUUCCAUCGGCGGACCUGCUGCGGUUUCUGGAUGAGAAGGCGGUAUACGUCGCCCUUAUCCAGGAGCAAUGGAUCGUCAGUGAAAGGGUUCGGGGACUGAUUGGUCGCGGAUACCGUCCAUCGACCAUCCUGUAUCCUAUAUCUAUAUCCUAUAACCUGUAUUGUGGUAAGAAAUGAGCUUAGUGUUUUGUUUUCUUCCAGGUUCAACACUCCAGACGGGAGGAACCUAUGUAUAUCUAGCCUUAAGUCACUAAGGCUUUCUCAAAUCCAGCCCGAUUAGUCGACCCCCAAAGUCCAACCACAGCCAGUGGUGGACACGGGAGCUGAGCGAAAUCAGAACGUGUAUCGAGGAAACUCUUCAACAUGAAAAAGUGACGAGAACACAAGAAAGCUGAGACUAAUGCCGCCACAGCUUCAAUCUCUUCAAUGCCAUCGACGGCACCACUGAAGCCUCAAGGCUUCCAGCACACAAGCACACCAGGCCUGUUCCGCAACCUGGACGGUGCUUUUGUAGAAAACAGCCAAGAGUCCCUAGAACUCCUCAUGAGUACCCACUUCCCUACGAAGGGUGGAGGGAGGUGAAAGUGUCCCCAAGGUUGGUAAGAUAAUCACAUCUCCCCAAAAGCCUGUCAUUCGUUUUUCUGUAAACGAUUCCGUUCUUGUGAAUCUGGUCAUGAACGACCCUAUUCUUUGCAAACAAGGUCACCUACGCGGAUGAUCUAGUAGUACAGGUAACGCGAAAGUACCUGCACACAAUUAGUGAUCUUCUAGAAUCUGCACUAGGAUUGACCGCCGAAUGGGUACUCCAGAACUGUCUAGCG
This 835-nucleotide long non-coding RNA is filed under the name Drosophila guanche. Lineage: Eukaryota; Metazoa; Arthropoda; Insecta; Diptera; Drosophilidae. The record is from RNAcentral.